GAUGAAGAACGCAGCGAAAUGCGAUAAGUAAUGUGAAUUGCAGAAUUCAGUGAAUCAUCGAAUCUUUGAACGCACAUUGCGCCCGCCAGUAUUCUGGCGGGCAUGCCUGUUCGAGCGUCAUUUCAACCAUCAAGCCCCAGGCUUGUGUUGGGGACCUGCGGCUGCCGCAGGCCCUGAAAACCAGUGGCGGGCUCGCUGUCACACCGGGCGUAGUAGAUCUUAUCUCGCUCAGGGCGUGCUGCGGGUUCCGGCCGUUAAAAAGCCUUUUUUACCCAAGGUUGACCUCGGAUCAGGUAGGAAUACCCGCUGAACUUAAGCAUAUCAAUAAGCGGAGGA
Molecule: unclassified non-coding RNA, 336 nt
Filed under: soil metagenome
Description: partial contains 5.8S ribosomal RNA, internal transcribed spacer 2, and large subunit ribosomal RNA
Rfam family: 5.8S ribosomal RNA (bases 1-120)
Source: RNAcentral